Molecule: ribosomal RNA, 410 nt
Filed under: Escherichia coli
Lineage: Bacteria; Pseudomonadati; Pseudomonadota; Gammaproteobacteria; Enterobacterales; Enterobacteriaceae
Description: partial 23S ribosomal RNA
Rfam family: Bacterial large subunit ribosomal RNA
Source: RNAcentral
CUAAUGUUGAAAAAUUAGCGGAUGACUUGUGGCUGGGGGUGAAAGGCCAAUCAAACCGGGAGAUAGCUGGUUCUCCCCGAAAGCUAUUUAGGUAGCGCCUCGUGAAUUCAUCUCCGGGGGUAGAGCACUGUUUCGGCAAGGGGGUCAUCCCGACUUACCAACCCGAUGCAAACUGCGAAUACCGGAGAAUGUUAUCACGGGAGACACACGGCGGGUGCUAACGUCCGUCGUGAAGAGGGAAACAACCCAGACCGCCAGCUAAGGUCCCAAAGUCAUGGUUAAGUGGGAAACGAUGUGGGAAGGCCCAGACAGCCAGGAUGUUGGCUUAGAAGCAGCCAUCAUUUAAAGAAAGCGUAAUAGCUCACUGGUCGAGUCGGCCUGCGCGGAAGAUGUAACGGGGCUAAACCAUG